RNAcentral lists this non-coding RNA (130 nucleotides) under unclassified sequences. Its description in RNAcentral is "Betaproteobacteria-1 RNA". It matches the Rfam family "Betaproteobacteria-1 RNA". The record is from Rfam by way of RNAcentral.
GUAAGAGUUGGGCGGGCUGACCAGCGUCAACGGCGACUCUUGCUUAAAAGCGCUACCGGUGGGAUAGAGACUGAAACAGCGCACAAACGGACGGCGAAGCUAGCAUCCGUGUCUCGCAUGGCUGGCGGGU